Molecule: small RNA, 83 nt
Filed under: Marmota monax (woodchuck)
Lineage: Eukaryota; Metazoa; Chordata; Mammalia; Rodentia; Sciuridae
Source: RNAcentral
GCUGGGCACAGUAGCGCAUGCCUGUAAUCCCAACAGAUUGGGAGGCUGAGGCAGGAGGAUUGCAAGUUCAAAACCAGCCUCAC